UACGUAGGGUGCGAGCGUUAAUCGGAAUUACUGGGCGUAAAGCGUGCGCAGGCGGUUCGUUAAGUCAGAUGUGAAAGCCCCGGGCUCAACCUGGGAACUGCAUUUGAAACUGGCGGGCUAGAGUACGGUAGAGGGGGAUGGAAUUCCGCGUGUAGCAGUGAAAUGCGUAGAUAUGCGGAGGAACACCGAUGGCGAAGGCAAUCCCCUGGACCUGUACUGACGCUCAUGCACGAAAGCGUGGGGAGCAAACAGG
This 253-nucleotide ribosomal RNA is filed under the name uncultured bacterium. RNAcentral describes it as "partial 16S ribosomal RNA". It matches the Rfam family "Bacterial small subunit ribosomal RNA", at positions 524 to 776 of the family's 1533-position model. The record is from RNAcentral.